UGGGAAUAUUGGACAAUGGGGGGAACCCUGAUCCAGCCAUGCCGCGUGUGUGAAGAAGGCCUUAUGGUUGUAAAGCACUUUAAGCGAGGAGGAGGCUCUUUUGGUUAAUACCCAGAAUGAGUGGACGUUACUCCCAGAAUAAGCACCGGCUAACUCUGUG
RNAcentral lists this ribosomal RNA (160 nucleotides) under uncultured bacterium. Its description in RNAcentral is "partial 16S ribosomal RNA". It matches the Rfam family "Bacterial small subunit ribosomal RNA", at positions 356 to 507 of the family's 1533-position model. The record is from RNAcentral.